RNAcentral lists this ribosomal RNA (1176 nucleotides) under Triticum aestivum (bread wheat). RNAcentral describes it as "partial small subunit ribosomal RNA". Lineage: Eukaryota; Viridiplantae; Streptophyta; Magnoliopsida; Poales; Poaceae. The record is from RNAcentral.
AUGCUUCAUCAAAUAGCAAGUGCUAAUAGGGGGACUCAAGUUUGGCGGAGAGAACGUCCAAACCCAAUGAACCCGGGUGAGCUAAUCCUGGACCGCUUAUUCUGGGCAUUCGCCCAGACUAUACAAGCCUUCAGGCACUGUCGCCCGGUAUUAUCUGUUGAUGGUACCUUUCUCACUGGAAAGUACAAGGGCACACUAUUGGUGGCAAUUGCAGCGGAUGCAAAUAAUCAGCUUCUUCCUAUUGCAUAUGCAUUGGUCGAGAGCGAGAACAAAAAUAGCUGGUUGUGGUUCCUGAGCUGCGUGAAGAUUGGUGUCGUGAAAGAGUGUAAAGGUGUUUGCAUCAUUUCUGAUCGCAACACUGGAUUAUUAAGCGCUCUUGAAAUAAUUAAGGCGUCGGAAGAAGAGUGGGGCUGGCCCGAUCUAGAGGGAAGGUGGUGCAUGAGGCAUUUGGCAGCAAACUUUUACUCCAAAUUCAAAAACAAGGAUUGGUUCAAGUUAUUCAAGAGGAUGUGCAUGCAAAAAACUGAAGCCAAAAUGAAUGCGAUAUGGGCAGGUAUCAAUGGUGAGAUCAAUCGCGCGGCCUUGCCGCAGAGAGAAGACCGGAGGGGUCGUAGGACGGCCAUAAAUUUGAGCCAGUGGAUCACCGAGAAUUGCCCUCAUUUGGAGAAGUGGGCGCAGGCUCACGACACCGGGGCUCGGUAUGGAAUAAUGACCAGCAACAUGUCAGAGGUGUACAAUGGUGUUCUUAAAGGGGUGCGAGCACUGCCUAUCACAGCCCUAAUUGAAGAAACUUGGAACCGGACCCUGUCAUACUUUGCAGACAGGGUCACCGUCGCCAAAGCACAAGUUGAAUUGAACAAGCCAUGGUCCGAGAAGAUGCAAAGACAUAUGGACGAGAAAGCAAAGAAGUCUCAAAGUCAUGGCUGCAGGAAAGUGGACGCAUUUAGGAAUAAGUGGGAGGUCAAUGUGCGAGCCAAGUACGUUAAGGGUCACCACGGAGGAUCAAAAAAGCAAGCUGUCACCCUUGGCUCAACCUCCUGUGAGUGCACUUGUAACAAGCCCAAGCUUGAGGGCUACCCUUGCAGUCAUGUGCUCCGGGCGGCUGCUGUUCAAAAAAUCAGCGUCGAGCCAUACAUAUCGCCGUACUUCAACAUGUACAAUCUGUACAACACUUGA